RNAcentral lists this transfer RNA (76 nucleotides) under Candidatus Pacearchaeota archaeon. Its description in RNAcentral is "tRNA-Asp". It matches the Rfam family "tRNA". Rfam says of the family: Transfer RNA (tRNA) molecules are approximately 80 nucleotides in length. Their secondary structure includes four short double-helical elements and three loops (D, anti-codon, and T loops). Further hydrogen bonds mediate the characteristic L-shaped molecular structure. tRNAs have two regions of fundamental functional importance: the anti-codon, which is responsible for specific mRNA codon recognition, and the 3' end, to which the tRNAs corresponding amino acid is attached (by aminoacyl-tRNA synthetases). tRNAs cope with the degeneracy of the genetic code in two manners: having more than one tRNA (with a specific anti-codon) for a particular amino acid; and 'wobble' base-pairing, i.e. permitting non-standard base-pairing at the 3rd anti-codon position. RNAcentral also lists the same sequence under 1 other name. Lineage: Archaea; Nanobdellati. The record is from RNAcentral.
GCGGCGGUAGCAUAGCCCGGCUUAAUGCGCCUCCCUGUCACGGAGGAGAUCGUGGGUUCGAAUCCCAUUCGCCGCG